GUGAAGUUCGCUAAACGACCCUCUCAAAUUCUAAGCAUUUUCAGAUAACAAUUACUGAGCGCCCCGUAUUUGUACAUUUUAUUUGGCGAGGCACGACUCACUCAUUACUUUCUAAAAGGGAAUGUCUAAAAAUAAACCUGAAGGUUCAUCGACUAUUUGUUAUCCAAUUAGGGCUCACCUCAAUUGUUUUAAUUCAAGGCCCACGAGUAAUUAUGAAACUAACAAAAUUUCUGCUAGUCGAAACUUAAUAGAACGAAGUGAGUCAAGUCCAGGCCCACACAAUAGGCCUGGUGUUUUUGGCUCAACACUAGAGCAACAUAAUCGAACCCCAGCAGCAACGAGAGGGCUCGAAUUAUUUUGAUUCUUUAGACCUGGCGUUAACAUGUCAAGUAAUAAGGUCUAUAUAUGUAGGUUACCAAAGAUACUGGGAAUUCAAAUUAAACUGCUCCUAUUGGAAAAUCAAUUUUAGAGAAUUUGACCAAUUGGAUAGUCAUUUUAAAACAAAUUUGUGCAAUAGUGUCAGGAAAUUAAUUAGAGUCAACAUAGGCUGCUCAUUUACUCAAAACAUGAAAUUAACUACAAUUUGUAAUCAAACUAACCUAUGAAUCAGUUAACAACCCACAGAGAUUCACAGUCCAAACUGCGUAAACACUACUUUAACUACAAAAAAAACUGCCUACAAAUACUAACAAGUAACGAUGCACUACAUUUUUCCUUUUUCAUCAACUCAAUUUUGAUCUAAUUACUACCAUUCCAAUAGAAAUCCACUUAACAUUAAGGAAUAAAAGUUUAACUACACAAAUAGAACAGAGGCUAAAUCAAAACUUCAAUUCAUCAUACAUGCUCAAUCUUCAUGUUUUCAGCUUACAAUUGCCAAAUUUUUAGCAGUAUACCUGGAAUUCGAAAUUAAAAGGAAGAAGAAUAAGUUAGCAACAGCAACCACGAUCAGAAUUCAAUCAGCCAUGAAUCACUUCAGCAAACCAGGAGAGCGUGAAACCAAGCAACCCAUCAAUUAACCAUAACUACUCGAGUGAAGUUGAAAUUUGAUCCAGGAUACACAGAACACGUUCAGCAAUCGAACCAACAAAGGACAAACCUCCAAAUGAACCUAUAUGCUGUAAAUCUCGCACACAGAACUGAAGACGGAGAUGUUUGAGCUAUUUUUAAUCCUAACUAAGCUAGGAAAACUGAAUCACUGAUUAAAAAUUGAAAGUGAUCUAAUGGGAGGCAAUGAAGUAAUUUUUUUGAUUUUUCUGUUUAAUAUUUGCUUUUGUGUUUGGUUUUUGGAAGAUUUGAAGUUUGGAUUGCAAAUUUUAGAUCUGGAAUUAGUGAACAAUGGGAGGGAUUUUUGGGAGGCUCCAAACUUAUGAAUGAAGUAAAUGACAUGCCCUUUUAUAGGCACAAAUGAGGGCAGCCCUCAGAUUUUCAGUUUUCCUUUUAGUCCCCCCUAAUUUUCAGUUUUCUCCAUUUACUUUUGACUUGCUAAUCAAGUAAACGCCCUCAUUUUGCUGAAAUCUACACUAAAGUAUCAUUCUAGAAGGCCCUAGGAUGCUCUUCUACCCACAAAAUACCUAUACUGCCCUUACCCCUACUUUAAAAUUACUAUUCUUAAAGAAACUACCCUUUCUAUAUCUAAAAUGCCCUUGAUUACUCCCUGAAAUUAUUGACCAUAUCAAACAAACUAUCCUAAGUAAAACUUAAUUGUGGUUAACGAAAGAGUGAGUUAUUCAGUUAUAUCCAAACCUUAAACCUAAUGAAAUUGCAAAUGAAGACUGAACAUCAAUUAAACUAAACAUAAACUAACAGAAUCAUUAAUUCAAAUAGACGAGAAUCAAACAAUUUCAAAGCGAGCUGGAAACAGGAUAAAAAACAAAAAUCUGAUUCAAGGAGAACAAUCGAUCAAACUAAUCAAGUUGAACUAAUCGAAACUAAGAUAAAACUUUAACAAUUAACUAACAAUUGAACCUUUAAACUAAGAAGAAAAGACUUCGACUCACAAUUAGCUAACAAUAACAAGAAAAAACUCUAUUAAAAUUAAACUACCAAUUAGAAUAUCUGGAAAUUAAAUUAAACCUAAAAUGCAAAGAAGGCUCACUGAUUAAAACAUAUGGAAUGAAAGAGAAGAAGAAGAGGAAUUAACUAAUAAAAUCAUAGAGCUAAAAAAUACUUACUAUGGAAAGCACUCGACAUUGAAAAGUUCCCAAAAGGCCAGCCCGAACGAACUCUAAAUCCAAAGGGUCCCCAGGCUGUACUGAGAUUCAUGAGGUUCUGGCAUGGAAUUUAUUACGAAGAAGGUAAGACGGCCACCUGGUAUCCAUUUGGGUGGGAAAAAGAGGCAGUGCUGCUACUGGAAUUCAAGGGCGGCGGCUAGGGUUCUUCGACUUUGAAUCAAGAUUAGAAGCCUUUGUGGUUGAUUCGGAAGAAAAAAUAUGUGGAUUUGGCAUGAGAAGGCUGAGACAAUGCCAGGGUGUUUUGGCGGCCAUUGGUGUAACUUACGUCUUGGCCGGAAUCUUCAAAAUGAAGAUUCGAGCCGGUGGGGGCUGAUUCGAGGGAAACCGGGUGCAUGGUUAGAAAGAGGAGAUCGAGGAGGGUCACCGGUGUAUUUUGGGUGGUCAUCGGUGUAGUUAUCGUCUUCGCCGCCGGCGAGUUUUAUCGGGGAAAAAUAGGGCAGUUGAUGAAUUAGGAUUUAGGUUGGAGAGGAUUGGGGGUCUGAGAGGAUCUGAGGAGGGGGGGUAGGGUGAUGUUAGGACAUAUUUAUACAAAACAUCCUAGGACACCCUCGUCCAUUGGAUUAAGAUCGAACGGCUUUGAUUAAACGAACAAAACACUGUCGCUUCAGAACAAUAGGACCGGGUGCGGGGAUUGAAAUUGGGCAUGGUUCUUGGGCUGGGGAAAUUUGGUCACUAAUGAGCCCAAUUGGUGUUUUUAUUAGAGGCAACAUUUUUAAAUUAUUUUUCUAUUAUCUCCUUUGUUUUAUUUUUGUUUU
Molecule: long non-coding RNA, 2986 nt
Filed under: Nicotiana benthamiana
Lineage: Eukaryota; Viridiplantae; Streptophyta; Magnoliopsida; Solanales; Solanaceae
Description: long non-coding RNA (NBEN_LNC033422)
Source: RNAcentral